CGUUAAAACACCAAUUCCCGUAUGAUCACUGAAGUUAAGCAACGUUGAGCCAUGUCAGUACUGAGAUGAGUGACCGCUUGCGAAUAAUAGGGGCUGUAAG
Acanthosepion pharaonis is the source of this 100-nucleotide non-coding RNA. NCBI's taxonomy places the organism in Eukaryota, Metazoa, Mollusca, Cephalopoda, Sepiida, Sepiidae. The record is from the annotation of a GenBank genome assembly.